UUGAAGAAUUUGAAGACUUCAACUUGCAGACUUAAAGAAUUUAAAGACUUCAGCUUGUAUACUUGGAGGAUUUGAAAACUUCAAUC
RNAcentral lists this microRNA precursor (86 nucleotides) under Solanum tuberosum (potato). RNAcentral's name for it is "MIR8024 microRNA precursor family". It matches the Rfam family "MIR8024 microRNA precursor family". Lineage: Eukaryota; Viridiplantae; Streptophyta; Magnoliopsida; Solanales; Solanaceae. The record is from Rfam by way of RNAcentral.